GAGAGAAGCUUGCUAGCAAUAAAGGUUGCUAACCUUAAUGCCCCAGGUUGAAUUCCAGAGUUCUCUCG
Molecule: transfer RNA, 68 nt
Filed under: Cabillus tongarevae (Tongareva goby)
Lineage: Eukaryota; Metazoa; Chordata; Actinopteri; Gobiiformes; Gobiidae
Description: tRNA-Ser
Source: RNAcentral